Molecule: ribosomal RNA, 253 nt
Filed under: uncultured bacterium
Lineage: Bacteria
Description: partial 16S ribosomal RNA
Rfam family: Bacterial small subunit ribosomal RNA
Source: RNAcentral
UACGUAGGGGGCUAGCGUUGUCCGGAAUCAUUGGGCGUAAAGCGCGUGUAGGCGGCCCGGUAAGUCCGCUGUGAAAGUCGGGGGCUCAACCCUCGGAUGCCGGUGGAUACUGUCGGGCUAGAGUGCGGAAGAGGCGAGUGGAGUUCCUGGUGUAGCGGUGAAAUGCGCAGAUAUCAGGAGGAACACCGAUUGCGAAGGCAGCUCGCUGGGACGUUACUGACGCUGAGACGCGAAAGCGUGGGGAGCAAACAGG